This 372-nucleotide ribosomal RNA is filed under the name uncultured bacterium. Its description in RNAcentral is "bacterial SSU rRNA". It matches the Rfam family "Bacterial small subunit ribosomal RNA", at positions 527 to 896 of the family's 1533-position model. The record is from RNAcentral.
GUAGGGUGCGAGCGUUGUCCGGAAUUAUUGGGCGUAAAGAGCUCGUAGGCGGUGUGUCGCGUCGGCCGUGAAAACCUGCAGCUUAACUGUGGGCGUGCGGUCGAUACGGGCAUCACUGGAGUUCGGCAGGGGAGACUGGAAUUCCUGGUGUAGCGGUGAAAUGCGCAGAUAGCAGGAGGAACACCGGUGGCGAAGGCGGGUCUCUGGGCCGAUACUGACGCUGAGGAGCGAAAGCGUGGGGAGCGAACAGGAUUAGAUACCCUGGUAGUCCACGCCGUAACGUUGGGCGCUAGGUGUGGGGGCCAUUCCACGGUUUCUGUGCCGCAGCUAACGCAUUAAGCGCCCCGCCUGGGGAGUACGGCCGCAAGGCUA